CGGACGGGUGAGUAAUGCCUAGGAAUCUGCCUGGUAGUGGGGGACAACGUUUCGAAAGGAACGCUAAUACCGCAUACGUCCUACGGGAGAAAGCAGGGGACCUUCGGGCCUUGCGCUAUCAGAUGAGCCUAGGUCGGAUUAGCUAGUUGGUGAGGUAAUGGCUCACCAAGGCGACGAUCCGUAACUGGUCUGAGAGGAUGAUCAGUCACACUGGAACUGAGACACGGUCCAGACUCCUACAGGAGGCAGCAGCU
This 254-nucleotide ribosomal RNA is filed under the name uncultured Pseudomonas sp. Its description in RNAcentral is "partial 16S ribosomal RNA". It matches the Rfam family "Bacterial small subunit ribosomal RNA", at positions 99 to 355 of the family's 1533-position model. Lineage: Bacteria; Pseudomonadati; Pseudomonadota; Gammaproteobacteria; Pseudomonadales; Pseudomonadaceae. The record is from RNAcentral.